UGUAAGCGUAUACCAAAGUUGUUGCAGUUAAAACGCUCGUAGUCGGAAUUUGGCAGUUCCGGAUGUGUGCACGUCGUGUGCGCACUUCGCGGGGAUUGCUUUUGUGGUCUUGCGUAGGAUGAGGCACUUUUAUUAGUGAACGUCCUCACGCAACCACUUUUUACUGUGAGAAAAUCAGAGUGCUCAAAGCAGGCAUUUGCCGUGAAUGUAUUAGCAUGGAAUAAUAGAAUAGGACUUGGUUCUAUUUUGUUGGUUUGUUGGGACUGAGUAAUGAUUAAGAGGGACAGUUGGGGGCAUUUGUAUUUCGGUGCUAGAGGUGAAAUUCUUAGAUUACCUAAAGACAAACUGCUGCGAAAGCGUCUGCCAAGGAUGUUUUCAUUGA
This 382-nucleotide ribosomal RNA is filed under the name uncultured eukaryote. RNAcentral describes it as "partial 18S ribosomal RNA". It matches the Rfam family "Eukaryotic small subunit ribosomal RNA", at positions 592 to 976 of the family's 1831-position model. The record is from RNAcentral.